RNAcentral lists this ribosomal RNA (246 nucleotides) under uncultured bacterium. RNAcentral's name for it is "partial small subunit ribosomal RNA". It matches the Rfam family "Bacterial small subunit ribosomal RNA", at positions 26 to 285 of the family's 1533-position model. The record is from RNAcentral.
AGAAUCAACGCUGGCGGCGUGCCUAACACAUGCAAGUCGAACGAGAAAGUGGAGCAAUCCAUGAGUAAAGUGGCGCACGGGUGAGUAACACGUGACUAACCUACCUUUUAGUGGGGGAUAACCUAGGGAAAACCUGGGCUAAUACCGCAUAAUACCUACGGGUCAAAGCAGCAAUGCGCUGGAAGAGGGGGUCGCGGCCGAUUAGCUAGUUGGCGGGGUAAUGGCCCACCAAGGCAGUGAUCGGUA